This 1058-nucleotide long non-coding RNA is filed under the name Cricetulus griseus (Chinese hamster). Its description in RNAcentral is "lncRNA (ENSCGRG00015042765.1)". The record is from RNAcentral. Lineage: Eukaryota; Metazoa; Chordata; Mammalia; Rodentia; Cricetidae.
UAGGGGGCGGAGCAAACACCUGGCCACACCGGCAGCUAAUCCCACAGACACCUAGUGCGUGCGCCCUGCCCAGUGAGGCUAGCGACUAUCUCAAGAGAAUAGCCAGCUGGCUGUAAACAUGGCUGAGAAUGAUCCAUCCUCAGAGCAGCAAAGGACCACAUGGACACUAAGCUCCUAAGGUUCCCCAUGCCACCAGGGAGUCCCCCUGGGGGCCAAGAUGAGGCUGAGGAGCUCCAGGAGACAGAAUGGGAGAUACUUACUAAGACACAUCAGCUUUGAGCUGCCGCCAAGCCACAUGGACCUUGGAGGUUAGGAGUGAGGGUCCCACCCUUUCCUCCCAGAAAAACACACAGCCAAUGCUCUGAGAACCGUGGGACCCUCACUGACAGGCAAUGAAGCUCCAUGACCUCAGGAACUCCAUGAGAAGAGGCAUUUCUGACUUCAUGGUGCCCUCCUUCCAGAAGAGUAUGAAAAAAUUCUGUUUUUCAAAUGUGUUGAUAAAGAGAACAGUGUGUUAAUAUUAUAUGUGAAAUAAUCUCUUUGACCUAAAUGUUCUUUUUUUUCUCUCUCUCUCCUUAAAAUGCUAAUAGUAACUGCCACCCUUGUGAGAGCAUGGUGGCAAGGGGAAGCAAAGGCAGUGGUGAGAUCUUGGAGACAAUAUAGGUGAGGAAUAGAACAUGGGGGUAUCGUGAUCCACAUGGGAAGCGAGACACACAGCGUAAGUGUGUGGGGAAGACUGACAGGCCAGUGUGUGACCCAUGGAGGGGGUCAGUCCCUGAGACUUGCUUCCACACAAGUGCUCCUACCUAUGUCUAUCCUGUGACCCAAGGCAGACCCAUGGCUACUUCUACAGUGAGUUAUCAAUUGGAAGACUGCUUCCCUGACCCUAUGGCUGGCUGGCUGUUUGUGCUGGGCCCUGUGUUCCCUUCUUCCUCAGCACCACCGCUGCGUCUCAGGUGUUCCCUGAACACCUGCUCAAGUCCACCCCAACUGUGAUACUUCAGUGGCACCUUAAACCUACUCAUUCAGACAUGAUCGUGUCUACCCAUGACUGCGGC